Non-coding RNA from Gymnothorax javanicus (giant moray), 73 nucleotides. Lineage: Eukaryota; Metazoa; Chordata; Actinopteri; Anguilliformes; Muraenidae. The record is from the annotation of a GenBank genome assembly.
GGUAUGGUGGUGCAGUGGGCAGCACUUUUGCCCCUCAGCAGGAAGGUCAUGGGUUUGAAUCCCACCUGAGGCU